RNAcentral lists this unclassified non-coding RNA (310 nucleotides) under uncultured fungus. RNAcentral's name for it is "sequence contains ITS1". The stretch from base 1 to 105 matches the Rfam family "5.8S ribosomal RNA", at positions 50 to 154 of the family's 154-position model. Lineage: Eukaryota; Fungi. The record is from RNAcentral.
GAAAUGCGAUACGUAAUGUGAAUUGCAGAAUUCCGUGAAUCAUCGAAUCUUUGAACGCACCUUGCGCUUCUUGGCAUUCCAGGAAGCAUGCCUGUUUGAGUCUCAGUUGACUCUCACCCGUGGAUUUGGGCGGCUCGGAUGCGACCGCCUUAAACGCAUCAAGCUGGCCUCUAGAGUGCUCCACACCUUUGGCUCGAUAAUACUUUUGUUUAUUAGCUCGAGUGUGGCGCGUCUCUGCAGGCCGAGUGACACUACCUUCUGGUACUGACACCUUGAGCUCAAAUCAGGCAAGACUACCCGCUGAACUUAA